GGCUCAGAAUGAACGCUGGCGGCAUGGCUAAGACAUGCAAGUCGAGCGGACCAUAUAAUUGGGUAACCGAAAGUACGGUUAGUGGCGAAAGGGUGAGGAAUAGAUAGGAACGUACCCUGUGCUCUGGGAUAGCGUCUGAAGCUUCGGCUUCUUCCGAAAGGGGCGGUAAUACCAGAUAAUGUCCUUCGGGACCAAAGAUUUAUCGGCAUUGGAGCGGCCUAUCUCCUAUCAGCUUGUUGGUGAGGUAACGGCUCACCAAGGCAACGACGGGUAGCGGGACUGAGAGGUUGGCCCGCCACAUCGGGACUGAGACACUGCCCGGACCUCCACGGAGGGCUGCAGUAACGGAUAUUGGGCAAUGGGCGAAAGCCUGACCCAGCAAUGCCGCGUGCAGGAUGAAGCCCCUAGGGGUGUAAACUGCUGUCAGGGGUCAGAAAGCUGGUUUCGGCCAGUUGAUCAACCCCAGAGGAAGUCACGGCUAACUUCGUGCCAGCAGCCGCGGUAAUACGAAGGUGGCAAGCGUUAUUCGGAAUCAUUGGGCUUAAAGGGCACGCAGGCGGAACAGUGUGUGCUGUGUGAAAUCCCCCGGCUUAACCGGGGAAUUGCACAGCAAACUGCUGUUCUUGAGGCAGGUAGGGGUGCAUGGAACUCUUGGUGGAGCGGUGGAAUGCGUAGAUAUCGAGAGGAACGCCAGAGGUGAAGACGGUGCACUGGGCCUGUCCUGACGCUGAAGUGCGAAAGCGUGGGGAGCGAACGGGAUUAGAUACCCCGGUAGUCCACGCCGUANACGAUGUCUACUAGGUCGUGGGUGUUCUGACACAUUCACGGCCGGAGCAAAAGUGUNUAGUAGACCGCCUGGGGGGUACGGCCGCAAGGGUUAAACUCAAAUGAAUUGACGGGGGCUCACACAAGCGGUGGAGCAUGGUGGAUUACUUCGAAGCAAACGCGCAGAACCCUUACCUGGGUCUGACCUGCUUGUAUGCCUUCUCUGAAAGGAGUUAGGNUGCCUUCGGGUGAACUUGCCCAGGUGCUGGAUGGCUGCCGUCAGCUCGUGUCCGUGAAAUGUCGGGUAAGUCCCUUAACGAGCGAAACCCUUGCGUUAGUUGCCAGGGAGUAAUGUUCGGGGACUCU
RNAcentral lists this ribosomal RNA (1131 nucleotides) under uncultured organism. RNAcentral describes it as "bacterial SSU rRNA". It matches the Rfam family "Bacterial small subunit ribosomal RNA", at positions 21 to 1141 of the family's 1533-position model. The record is from RNAcentral.